Molecule: ribosomal RNA, 253 nt
Filed under: uncultured prokaryote
Description: partial 16S ribosomal RNA
Rfam family: Bacterial small subunit ribosomal RNA
Source: RNAcentral
UACGGAGGGUGCAAGCAUUAAUCGGAUUUAUUGGGCGUAAAGGGCGCGUAGGCCGGCCAGAAAGUCAAAUGUGAAAUCCCGGAGCUCAACUCCGGAACGGCAUUUGAAACUCCUGGUCUUGAGGGUAGGCGGAGAAAACGGAAUUCCACGUGUAGCGGUGAAAUGCGUAGAUAUGUGGAAGAACACCUGUGGUGAAAGCGGUUUUCUAGCUUAUUCCUGACGCUGAGGCGCGAAAGCAAGGGGAGCAAACAGG